RNAcentral lists this transfer RNA (70 nucleotides) under Camelus bactrianus (Bactrian camel). It matches the Rfam family "tRNA". From Rfam's summary of the family: Transfer RNA (tRNA) molecules are approximately 80 nucleotides in length. Their secondary structure includes four short double-helical elements and three loops (D, anti-codon, and T loops). Further hydrogen bonds mediate the characteristic L-shaped molecular structure. tRNAs have two regions of fundamental functional importance: the anti-codon, which is responsible for specific mRNA codon recognition, and the 3' end, to which the tRNAs corresponding amino acid is attached (by aminoacyl-tRNA synthetases). tRNAs cope with the degeneracy of the genetic code in two manners: having more than one tRNA (with a specific anti-codon) for a particular amino acid; and 'wobble' base-pairing, i.e. permitting non-standard base-pairing at the 3rd anti-codon position. Lineage: Eukaryota; Metazoa; Chordata; Mammalia; Artiodactyla; Camelidae. The record is from Rfam by way of RNAcentral. RNAcentral also lists the same sequence under 1 other name.
GGAGGGAGCUCAGUAGUAGAGCACAUGCUUAGCAUGCACGAGGUCCUGGGUUCAAUCUCCAGUAUCUCCA